This is an RNA transcript of Cercocebus atys (sooty mangabey), 1366 nucleotides long. It is a transcript of the gene named 60S ribosomal protein L35 pseudogene, with no coding region annotated. NCBI's taxonomy places the organism in Eukaryota, Metazoa, Chordata, Mammalia, Primates, Cercopithecidae. The transcript has a single exon. The record is from RefSeq and is a predicted model, not a curated record.
UCACUGCAUUCCAGCCUGGGUGACAGAGUGAGACUGUGUCUCAAAAGGAAAAAACAGACAGCUCUUUCCCUCCCAGCAGGCGGCUGUGGCGGCGGCGGCCUGUGCAGCAAUGGCCAAGAUCAAGUCUCCAGAUCUUUGUGGGAAGAAGGAGGAGCUGCUGAAACAGCUGGACGACCUGAAGGUGGAGCUGUCCCAGCUGCGUGUCGCCAAAGUGACAGGCAGUGCGGCCUCCAAGCUCUCUAAGGUCCGAGUCGUCCGCAAAUCCAUUGCGCGUGUUCUCACAGUUAUUAACCAGACUCAGAAGGAAAACCUCAGGAAAUUCUACAACCGGCAAGAAGUACAAGCCCCUGGACCUGCGGCCUAAGAAGACAGGCGCCAUGCACCACCGGCUCAACAAGCACGAGGAGAACCUGAAGACCAAGAAGCAGCAGCAGAAGGAGCGGCUGUACCCGCUGUGGUAGCACGCGGUCAAGGCCUGAGUCAAUAAAGCACAGCUGACUGAGAAAAAAAAAAAGAAAAGAAAAAACAAACCAAAAUGAACAACAACUACAACAACAACAAAAAAUAACAAAACCCACAGCCAUCAGAUUUAAUACAGAAGAGUUGAAAGCAUUCCCUCUAAGUACUGCAACAUGAAAAAGAUGCUAACUUUCACCACUCAUAUUCAAAGUAGUACCAGGUGUCCCUGUCAGAGCAAUCAGCAGGCAAGAGAAAAAACAAAAACCAGCAUCCAAGUUGGAAAAGAGAAAGUCAAAUUAUCCUUUUUUGCUAAUGAUGUGAUCUAUCUAGAAAACCCUAAAGACUCCACCAAAAGACUCUCGGAUUUGACAAAUGAAUUCGAAACGUUUUAAGAUAAGAAAUUAAUACAGAGAAAUGAGCAGCAUUUUCAUAUAACAAUAAUGAUCUAGCCAAGGACCAAAUCAAGAAGGCAAUCUCAUUUCCAAUAGCUACCGGAAAAAAAAAAAAAACUUACAAAUAUACUGAACCAAGGAGGUACACAAUCUCUAUAAGGAAAAUUACAAAACACUGAUGGAAGAAAUUGCAGAUGACACAAACAAAUGGAAAAACAUCCCAAGCUCCUAAAUUGGAAGAAUCAACAUUGCUAAAAUGAUGAUAUUGCCCAAGGCAAUCUACAGUUUCAAUGCAAUCCCUAUGAAAUUAUCAACAUUCUUUUCCCCAGAAUUAAAAAGAAAAUUCUAAAAUUCAUAUAGAACCAAAAAAGGCCCCAAAUAGCCAAAGUAAUCUUAAGAAUACAGAAUAAAGUUGGAGGUAUCAAAUUACUUGAUUUCAAAUUACACUAUAAAGCUAUAGUAACCAAAACAGCAUAGUACUAGUAUAAAAAUAGACACAUAGGCCAGGAGUGGUG